This 497-nucleotide ribosomal RNA is filed under the name uncultured bacterium. RNAcentral describes it as "partial 16S ribosomal RNA". It matches the Rfam family "Bacterial small subunit ribosomal RNA", at positions 28 to 507 of the family's 1533-position model. The record is from RNAcentral.
GAUGAACGCUGGCGGCGUGCCUAAUACAUGCAAGUCGAGCGAACAGAUAAGGAGCUUGCUCCUUUGACGUUAGCGGCGGACGGGUGAGUAACACGUGGGUAACCUACCUAUAAGACUGGAAUAACUCCGGGAAACCGGGGCUAAUGCCGGAUAACAUUUAGAACCGCAUGGUUCUAAGGUGAAGAUGGGUUUGGCUUUCACUUCUGGAUGGACCCGCGCCGUAUUAGCUAGUUGGUAAGUUAACGCCUUACCAAGGCAACGAUCCGUAGCCGACCUGAGAGGGUGAUCGGCCACACUGGAACUGAGACACGGUCCAGACUCCUACGGGAGGCAGCAGUAGGGAAUCUUCCGCAAUGGGCGAAAGCCUGACGGAGCAACGCCGCGUGAGUGAUGAAGGUCUUCGGAUCGUAAAACUCUGUUAUUAGGGAAGAACAAAUGUGUAAGUAACUGUGCACGUCUUGACGGUACCUAAUCAGAAAGCCACGGCUAACUACGUG